GACGAACGCUGGCGGCGUGCCUAACACAUGCAAGUCGAACGGAAAGGCCCUGCUUUUGUGGGGUGCUCGAGUGGCGAACGGGUGAGUAACACGUGAGUAACCUGCCCUUGACUUUGGGAUAACUUCAGGAAACUGGGGCUAAUACCGGAUAGGAGCUCCUGCUGCAUGGUGGGGGUUGGAAAGUUUCGGCGGUUGGGGAUGGACUCGCGGCUUAUCAGCUUGUUGGUGGGGUAGUGGCUUACCAAGGCUUUGACGGGUAGCCGGCCUGAGAGGGUGACCGGCCACAUUGGGACUGAGAUACGGCCCAGACUCCUACGGGAGGCAGCAGUGGGGAAUAUUGCACAAUGGGCGGAAGCCUGAUGCAGCAACGCCGCAUGCGGGAUGACGGCCUUCGGGUUGUAAACCGCUUUCGCCUGUGACGAAGCGUGAGUGACGGUAAUGGGUAAAGAAGCACCGGCUAACUACGUG
Molecule: ribosomal RNA, 468 nt
Filed under: uncultured bacterium
Lineage: Bacteria
Description: partial 16S ribosomal RNA
Rfam family: Bacterial small subunit ribosomal RNA
Source: RNAcentral